AGGGUGAGCAGUGGUUGCCAUGAAGC
This 26-nucleotide non-coding RNA is filed under the name Homo sapiens (human). Lineage: Eukaryota; Metazoa; Chordata; Mammalia; Primates; Hominidae. The record is from RNAcentral.